UACGAAGGGGGCUAGCGUUGCUCGGAAUGACUGGGCGUAAAGGGCGCGUAGGCGGUCGAGCGCGUCAGAUGUGAAAGCCCCGGGCUCAACCUGGGAACCGCAUUUGAAACGGCUGGACUCGAGUUCGGGAGAGGAUGGUGGAAUUCCCAGUGUAGAGGUGAAAUUCGUAGAUAUUGGGAAGAACACCGAGGGCGAAGGCAGCCAUCUGGACCGACACUGACGCUGAGGCGCGAAAGCGUGGGGAGCAAACAGG
RNAcentral lists this ribosomal RNA (253 nucleotides) under uncultured bacterium. RNAcentral's name for it is "partial 16S ribosomal RNA". It matches the Rfam family "Bacterial small subunit ribosomal RNA", at positions 524 to 776 of the family's 1533-position model. The record is from RNAcentral.